GUAGGUGGCAAGCGUUGUCCGGAAUUAUUGGGCGUAAAGCGCGCGCAGGCGGUUCUUUAAGUCUGAUGUGAAAGCCCACGGCUCAACCGUGGAGGGUCAUUGGAAACUGGAGAACUUGAGUACAGAAGAGGAAAGCGGAAUUCCACGUGUGGCGGUGAAAUGCGUAGAGAUGUGGAGGAACACCAGUGGCGAAGGCGGCUUUCUGGUCUGUAACUGACGCUGAGGCGCGAAAGCGUGGGGAGCAAACAGGGAUUAGAUACCCUGGUAGUCCACGCCGUAAACGAUGAGUGCUAAGUGUUAGGGGGGUUUCCGCCCCCUUAGUGCUGCAGCUAACGCAUUAAGCACUCCGCCUGGGGAUACGGCCGCAAGGCUG
Molecule: ribosomal RNA, 373 nt
Filed under: uncultured organism
Description: partial 16S ribosomal RNA
Rfam family: Bacterial small subunit ribosomal RNA
Source: RNAcentral